AUUGAACGCUGGCGGCAUGCCUUACACAUGCAAGUCGAACGGUAACGGGUCCUUCGGGAUGCCGACGAGUGGCGAACGGGUGAGUAAUAUAUCGGAACGUGCCCAGUAGUGGGGGAUAACUGCUCGAAAGAGCAGCUAAUACCGCAUACGACCUGAGGGUGAAAGGGGGGGAUCGCAAGACCUCUCGCUAUUGGAGCGGCCGAUAUCAGAUUAGCUAGUUGGUGGGGUAAAGGCCUACCAAGGCAACGAUCUGUAGUUGGUCUGAGAGGACGGCCGGCCACACUGGGACUGAGACACGGCCCAGACUCCUACGGGAGGCAGCAGUGGGGAAUUUUGGACAAUGGGCGCAAGCCUGAUCCAGCAAUGCCGCGUGCAGGAAGAAGGCCUUCGGGUUGUAAACUGCUUUUGUCAGGGAAGAAAUCUUCUGGGCUAAUACCCCGGGAGGAUGACGGUACCUGAAGAAUAAGCACCGGCUAACUACGUGCCAGCAGCCGCCGUAA
RNAcentral lists this ribosomal RNA (500 nucleotides) under uncultured bacterium. Its description in RNAcentral is "partial 16S ribosomal RNA". It matches the Rfam family "Bacterial small subunit ribosomal RNA", at positions 30 to 523 of the family's 1533-position model. The record is from RNAcentral.